This 466-nucleotide ribosomal RNA is filed under the name uncultured bacterium. Its description in RNAcentral is "partial 16S ribosomal RNA". It matches the Rfam family "Bacterial small subunit ribosomal RNA", at positions 28 to 507 of the family's 1533-position model. The record is from RNAcentral.
GAUGAACGCUGGCGGCGUGCUUAACACAUGCAAGUCGAACGGAAAGGCUCCUGCUUGCAGGGGUACUCGAGUGGCGAACGGGUGAGUAACACGUGGGUGAUCUGCCCUGGACUUCGGGAUAAGCCUGGGAAACUGGGUCUAAUACCGGAUAGGACGAUGGUUUGGAUGCCAUUGUGGAAAGUUUUUUCGGUGUGGGAUGAGCUCGCGGCCUAUCAGCUUGUUGGUGGGGUAAUGGCCUACCAAGGCGUCGACGGGUAGCCGGCCUGAGAGGGUGUACGGCCACAUUGGGACUGAGAUACGGCCCAGACUCCUACGGGAGGCAGCAGUGGGGAAUAUUGCACAAUGGGCGCAAGCCUGAUGCAGCGACGCCGCGUGGGGGAUGACGGCCUUCGGGUUGUAAACUCCUUUCGCUAGGGACGAAGCGCAAGUGACGGUACCUGGAGAAGAAGCACCGGCUAACUACGUG